UAGGGAAUCUUCGGCAAUGGGGGGAACCCUGACCGAGCAACGCCGCGUGAGUGAAGAAGGUUUUCGGAUCGUAAAGCUCUGUUGUUAAGGAAGAACGAGUGUGAGAAUGGAAAGUUCAUACUGUGACGGUACUUAACCAGAAAGGGACGGCUAACUACGUGCCAGCAGCCGCGGUAAUACGUAGGUCCCGAGCGUUGCCCGGAAUUAUUGGGCGUAAAGCGAGCGGAGGCGGUUGGAUAAGUCUGAAGUUAAAGGCAGUGGCUCAACCAGGGUAGGCUUUGGAAAGUGUUGAGCUUUAGUGCAGAAGGGGAGAGUGGAAUUCAGUGUGUAGCGGUGAAAUGCGUAGAUAUAUGAAGGAACACCGGUGGCGAGAGCGGCUCUCUGGUCUGUGACAGACGCUGAGGCUCGAAAGCGUGGGGAGCGAACAGG
RNAcentral lists this ribosomal RNA (429 nucleotides) under Bacteroidota bacterium. RNAcentral describes it as "Bacteroidetes bacterium partial 16S ribosomal RNA". It matches the Rfam family "Bacterial small subunit ribosomal RNA", at positions 355 to 776 of the family's 1533-position model. Lineage: Bacteria; Pseudomonadati; Bacteroidota. The record is from RNAcentral.